Cheilinus undulatus (humphead wrasse) is the source of this 1200-nucleotide long non-coding RNA. RefSeq lists it as uncharacterized. The record is from RefSeq and is a predicted model, not a curated record. NCBI's taxonomy places the organism in Eukaryota, Metazoa, Chordata, Actinopteri, Labriformes, Labridae. The transcript is spliced from 3 exons.
UCUUACUUGAAAUGUUGUGGGCAUAGAAUAGUAUCUAAGCGUUAUAUCGAUUCAGUGAAAUAAAAUUAAUGUAAUUGUUAGCUAACUGUAGAACUGUAUUCUUUACCGUUGAUAAUUAAAAAAAAACGAAAAGGGACUUUUAACAGUUAAGCUGCUCAUGCUAGUAAUAAAGAUGCUAACGCAGUGACGUUUCUGCCAAAAAUUGAAGCUAAAGAAGAAGGACAGUGAAGACGACCAGUAGAACUGUCUCUACAAGUGGCAUUUAAACGGCUAAAAGGCUCAGCUUGGACUUCAGGACCUUCUGCAACUUCUAAAGUCUAUCACUGAGACCAUCCUGACUGUCUACAUCACAACCUGAAAAAACUUCCCUCAGCUUACUGAUAAAAAGAAAAUUAUUACUGCUGAGCCUAUCAGACAGAGUUACAUAAAAGGAGAAGACCAACACUAUCCUCAAAGAAUCAAAGGGAUGCAGCUGACAGUUUCAUAGCAUCAUGUCCUGCACCACCAGGCUCAGACCAACGCACUUACCGACUAUGGACCUUUACAACUGAAGUCAGUGUGGCCAAGUUUCCUUUAUGUGGUAAACCAGGACUCAAACAUUGUAUGACAUCAUCAAAGAGGGACCUGAGACCACAGAGGAGGUGUCAGCUGCAGAUGGAAGGAACACCAGGAUGGAUCAAACCAGUCAUUCAUGAGCCUCUCCUCUAAGCAAGGCCCGUGUCACGGAUUUGUCUCAGGGAUAGCAGUCAGAGACAGGCUGGGCCUCGUGGUCACCACAUGGAAAAACCCACACAAUAGAAGUGUAAAAAUGAAUGUUUGUGGUUUCACAGAGUUUGGUGUUGGACCUUUCUCUUGGCAAAUUUGAGCCAGUCGCAGUGACUGUGCACGGCAUCAUGACGUCUUGUCAUGAGAGAUGGUGCCGUUAAACUUGUUCAGAGACCAAAACAUACUGGUUCUUACCACAUGCAUCUGGAACACAGCACUGAGAAGCUGACAUCAACAAAUUGAAGAUUCAUCAAUGAAUCAUCAGUUGUGAAAGAACCAAGUUAACUUGAUUUUGUCAGAAAAAUAUCAGCCUCUCAUUUUAGCUGUGUCAGUCUACACAGAGCAAAACAUAACAGCAGGGUCGACUUUUAAUUUUAUGAACACAAUUCUUAAUUUGUCACAUGCUGAAAAGGUUUUAACUGACGACCAAGUGAU